Molecule: non-coding RNA, 44 nt
Organism: Canis lupus familiaris (dog)
Lineage: Eukaryota; Metazoa; Chordata; Mammalia; Carnivora; Canidae
Source: Rfam
UUAAAGGCUCUUUUCAGAGCCACCCAAACCUCUGAAAAGAGCUG